UGAAUACGAGAUGCUACGGCGUCGAAGCAGUCUAUGUCAUACUUCCAAGAAAAGCUUGCACUGUCAUAAACAAAUAAUGCCUGUACCAUAACCGACACAGGUGGGUAGGUAGAGUAUACUAAGGGGCGCGAGAUAACUCUCUCUAAGGAACUCGGCAAAAUGACUCCGUAACUUCGGGAGAAGGAGUGCCUUAUUUAUAAGGUUGCAAUAACAAGACCCAAGCAACUGUUUAUCAAAAACACAGGUCUCCGCUAAGUCGUAAGACGAUGUAUGGGGGCUGACGCCUGCCCAGUGCCAGAAGGUUAAAGAAGUUGGUUAGCAUUAGCGAAGCUGAUGACUGAAGCCCUGGUGAACGGCGGCCGUAACUAUAACGGUCCUAAGGUAGCGAAAUUCCUUGUCGGGUAAGUUCCGACCCGCACGAAAGGCGUAAUGAUUUGGGUACUGUCUCAGAGAGGGACUCGGUGAAAUAGACUUGUCUGUGAAGAUGCGGACUACCUGCACCUGGACAGAAAGACCCUAUGAAGCUUUACUGUAACCUGAAAUUGAAAUUGGACUUUAUUUGCGCAGUAUAGGUGGGAGGCUUUGAAGAUAUUCUUGCGGGAAUGUUGGAGCCAUCGGUGAGAUACCACUCUUGUAAUGUUAGAUUUCUAACUUUGUAUCAUUAUCUGGUCAAAGAACAGUUUCAGGCGGGCAGUUUGACUGGGGCGGUCGCCUCCUAAACGGUAACGGAGGCGCACAAAGGUUUCCUCUGAACGGGUAGAAAUCGUAUCUAGAGUGUAAAGGCAUAAGGAAGCUUGACUGUGAGACCUACAAGUCGAGCAGGGACGAAAGUCGGUCUUAGUGAUCUGACGGUGCUGAGUGGAAAGGCCGUCACUCAACGGAUAAAAGUUACUCUAAGGAUAACAGGCUGAUCUCCCCCAAGAGUUCACAUCGACGGGGAGGUUUGGCACCUCGAUGUCGGCUCAUCGCAUCCUGGGGCGGUAGUACGUCCCAAGGGUUGGGCUGUUCGCCCAUGAAAGCGGUACGCGAGCUGGGUUCAGAACGUCGUGAGACAGUUCGGUCCAUAUCCGGUGUAGGCGUUAGAAUAUUGAGAGGAGCCUUCUCUAGUACGAGAGGACCGAGAAGGACACACCUCUGGUGUACCAGUUAUCGUGCCAACGGUAAACGCUGGGUAGCUAUGUGUGGAGCGGAUAACCGCUGAAAGCAUCUAAGUGGGAAGCCCACCUCAAGAUAAGUAUUCUCAC
Molecule: ribosomal RNA, 1244 nt
Filed under: metagenome
Description: bacterial LSU rRNA
Rfam family: Bacterial large subunit ribosomal RNA
Source: RNAcentral